RNAcentral lists this ribosomal RNA (409 nucleotides) under Theileria ovis. RNAcentral describes it as "SSU rRNA". It matches the Rfam family "Eukaryotic small subunit ribosomal RNA", at positions 548 to 990 of the family's 1831-position model. The record is from RNAcentral. Lineage: Eukaryota; Apicomplexa; Aconoidasida; Piroplasmida; Theileriidae.
UUGGAGGGCAAGUCUGGUGCCAGCAGCCGCGGUAAUUCCAGCUCCAAUAGCGUAUAUUAAAAUUGUUGCAGUUAAAAAGCUCGUAGUUGAAUUUCUGCUGCAUUGCUUUUGCUCCUUUACGAGUCUUUGCAUUGUGGCUUAUUUCGGACUUUGUUUUACAAUGUCCGGAUGUUUACUUUGAGAAAAUUAGAGUGCUCAAAGCAGGCUUUCGCCUUGAAUAGUUUAGCAUGGAAUAAUAAAGUAGGACUUUGGUUCUAUUUUGUUGGUUUUAGGUACCAAAGUAAUGGUUAAUAGGAACAGUUGGGGGCAUUCGUAUUUAACUGUCAGAGGUGAAAUUCUUAGAUUUGUUAAAGACGAACUACUGCGAAAGCAUUUGCCAAGGAUGUUUUCAUUAAUCAAGAACGAAAGU